CCUACGGGAGGCAGCAGUGGGGAAUUUUGGACAAUGGGGGCAACCCUGAUCCAGCAAUGCCGCGUGAGUGAAGAAGGCCUUCGGGUUGUAAAGCUCUUUUGUCAGGGAAGAAACGGUGAUCUCUAAUACAGAUUACUAAUGACGGUACCUGAAGAAUAAGCACCGGCUAACUACGUGCCAGCAGCCGCGGUAAUACGUAGGGUGCAAGCGUUAAUCGGAAUUACUGGGCGUAAAGCGUGCGCAGGCGGUUAUAUAAGUCAGAUGUGAAAUCCCCGGGCUCAACCUGGGAACUGCAUUUGAGACUGUAUGGCUAGAGUGUGUCAGAGGGGGGUAGAAUUCCACGUGUAGCAGUGAAAUGCGUAGAUAUGUGGAGGAAUACCGAUGGCGAAGGCAGCCCCCUGGGAUAACACUGACGCUCAUGCACGAAAGCGUGGGGAGCAAACAGGAUUAGAUACCCUGGUAGUCCACGCCCUAAACGAUGUCUACUAGUUGUCGGGUCUUAAUUGACUUGGUAACGCAGCUAACGCGUGAAGUGACCGCCUGGGGAGUACGGUCGCAAGAUUAAAACUCAAAAUUGAAAUUGACCGG
This 588-nucleotide ribosomal RNA is filed under the name uncultured bacterium. RNAcentral's name for it is "bacterial SSU rRNA". It matches the Rfam family "Bacterial small subunit ribosomal RNA", at positions 338 to 917 of the family's 1533-position model. The record is from RNAcentral.